GAUGAACGCUGGCGGCGUGCUUAGCACAUGCAAGUCGAACGGGAAAUACUUUAUUGAAACUUUGGUGGAUUUAAUUUAUUUCUAGUGGCGGACGGGUGAGUAACGCGUGGGUAACCUGCCUUAUACUGGGGGAUAACAGCCAGAAAUGACUGCUAAUACCGCAUAAGCGCACAGAACCGCAUGGUUCCGUGUGAAAAACUCCGGUGGUAUAAGAUGGACCCGCGUUGGAUUAGCUAGUUGGCAGGGCAGCGGCCUACCAAGGCGACGAUCCAUAGCCGGCCUGAGAGGGUGAACGGCCACAUUGGGACUGAGACACGGCCCAGACUCCUACGGGAGGCAGCAGUGGGGAAUAUUGCACAAUGGGGGAAACCCUGAUGCAGCGACGCCGCGUGAAGGAAGAAGUAUCUCGGUAUGUAAACUUCUAUCAGCAGGGAAGAUAAUGACGGUA
RNAcentral lists this ribosomal RNA (448 nucleotides) under uncultured bacterium. Its description in RNAcentral is "bacterial SSU rRNA". It matches the Rfam family "Bacterial small subunit ribosomal RNA", at positions 28 to 477 of the family's 1533-position model. The record is from RNAcentral.